CGCGUAGGCGGAAUGGUCAGUCAGAUGUGAAAUGUCCCGGCUUAACCGGGGAGUUGCAUUUGAAACUGCCAUUCUUGAGUGUCGUAGGGGAUGAUGGAAUUCCUGGUGUAGCGGUGAAAUGCGUAGAGAUCAGGAAGAACACCGGUGGCGAAGGCGCGUCUCUGGACCGGUACUGACGCUGAUGCCCGAAAGCGUGGGGAGCAAACA
This 207-nucleotide ribosomal RNA is filed under the name uncultured bacterium. RNAcentral's name for it is "partial 16S ribosomal RNA". It matches the Rfam family "Bacterial small subunit ribosomal RNA", at positions 568 to 774 of the family's 1533-position model. The record is from RNAcentral.